RNAcentral lists this long non-coding RNA (1449 nucleotides) under Oryctolagus cuniculus (rabbit). RNAcentral's name for it is "lncRNA (ENSOCUG00000035625.1)". Lineage: Eukaryota; Metazoa; Chordata; Mammalia; Lagomorpha; Leporidae. The record is from RNAcentral.
GCGAGGGCUCUGCGGGGCGGCUCGGCGCGCGCGCUCCGGCGGGGAGCAGGCGACAACUAAUGGAGACAUUUCCAGGCGGAGCACCUGGCGAGCGGAGCGCGCCGGCGUCCCCAGGCGCCGCGGUCGUCAGCCGAGCCCGCACCGGCGUGACGUGGGCGAGCGAGCGCGCUGCUCCCACCCGGCCGCCCAUCAGCGCUUUGUCCCGCGGGCGCCGCGCACCUGCCAACUUUCCCCUCCGUGAGGCGCGGGGGUGCUGGCUGGGCGCCGGGGGCGCCGGGGUGCGGGCAGGGGCGUGGGGAGAGGCUGGUUGGCCCUGGACGCUGGGCUCAGAAGAGGACCCCCCGAGGCGUCACAGUUCCAGCUUCUCCCCCUGGUGUCCAUGUCGGUCCACGACCCGCACUCUGGAAGUCCAGGAGCUUUGGUGUGGGCACCAGGACGUGGGCAAGUAGGGGUGAGUGAACCAAAGCGAUAGACUUGUGGGAGGACUGACGAGUCGGAGACCUGCCCAGGACGGGUGCAGCAGUCACCACGACGUCCAGAGCUGGGCUGGGCUGGGCUGACCUCUGGCCUGCAGACUCACAGCCUGAGGCCAGGAGCCCAGGGCAGGGCAGGUGGGCCCAGGGGGGUCAACAGGGAACCCCUGAAGGCUGGGCACCGGGCUGUUUCCCUCCAGAGCUCGGGGCAGCCCAGAGCGGGAAGCAGGGGGAGGGUCAGAGCCGCAGGGGCCGCUGGUAAUGGGGCCUCGGAGCCGCGUCGAGGGCCGCUUCCUGGGCCGGGCUGGCAGGACAGGCCAGGGGCAGUCUCCGGGGUUGCACUGCCUGUCUCCCUGCCACCGCCAUGCUUUGACUUCAAGAACCACUGCGUCCUUUCUCAGGUUGGCUUCCCCCUUUCUGUCUCUGCAGCCGCCGGACAGGUGACACAGAGCUGCAAGAUGAACCCCCCCCCCCAGGAGCUUUCAAACAGCCUGGGGGGGGGGGGAAUUAAAGCAGAAGUUUAUUUUGCUGCAAAUUUUUUAAACCCAUGAAUAUAUUUUUCUUAAAACACGUUUUCCAUGAUUUUUUAAAAAACUUAUUUGUUUUCAUUUUGCCUGAAAAUGCAGGCAGACACAGACACACGUGAUUCGCACCCACUGGUUCACUCCCCCAGUGCCCACCGUGGCCAGGGCUGUGUCUCCCACACGGGUGCUGGGACCCAAGUACUUGGCCCACUGUCCGCUGCCUCCCAGGGCGCUGGGCUCGCUGUCACAUGGCAUGUGGGCCUCCUGGCCCCACCCCCACCCCCCACGAUUGUUGUUUAAAGUUUUGUUUUACUUAUUUAGAAGCCAGGGGCAGGGUCGGGGCAGGGGAGAGAGAGAUCGUCUGCUGAUUCACUCACCAAACAGCUGCAGCCGCCAGGACCGGGUUGGGCUGAAGCCAGGAGCCUGGAACCCCAUUCAGGUCUCCCGCGUGG